GACGAACCGUGCAAACGUUGUUCGGAAUCACUGGGCUUAAAGGGCGCGUAGGCGGCUUGCCAAGUCCGGGGUGAAAUACUUCAGCUUAACUGGAGAAGUGCCUUGGAUACUGGCAGGCUCGAGGGAGGUAGGGGUUGCUGGAACUUCCGGUGGAGCGGUGAAAUGCGUUGAUAUCGGAAGGAACGCCGGUGGCGAAAGCGAGCAACUGGACCUCUUCUGACGCUGAGGCGCGAAAGCUAGGGGAGCAAACGGG
Molecule: ribosomal RNA, 253 nt
Filed under: uncultured bacterium
Lineage: Bacteria
Description: partial 16S ribosomal RNA
Rfam family: Bacterial small subunit ribosomal RNA
Source: RNAcentral